CACUGCAAGUGCACAGUGAGUAUCUGUUCGGGGAAUGACUGAUGAAAGCUACUCUUUCAGGAUGGCUUCCUCUCUGCCCAGAUCAGCGAUGCUGAUCUAGUUUUAUUUAACAUCUCAACACAACUGCGGCAUAGACACCCUCUUCAGGCUCAGAGAGGCGAACCGGCUCACCCGCGGCCACACCAGCUGGAAUCCGCAAUUGGACCCAUCGAGUGCCAGGGCCCGAGUGCUCAGCCACCAUUCAAGAACGGAUUUGGCCGUGGAUUUGUUUUGAGAAGAACUAAUCACACCCCAGCCCAGGGCGUACUGGGGAAAAGGGACCUGGAUCUGAAAAGAGAUACGAAAACCAAAGCUUAGAAAUAUGUGUUUCUGGAAGUGAAAUCACUUGAGCGAUUAAAGAGGAACCUAAGCAUCGAAAGUGAAUGCCACCUGAAAUGAAAUGGUUACUGUUUACAGAGGAGCACUGUGUGCAGGGCUUCCGCUGAGAGUCUCACGCACCUGGCCUUGUGCAACCUUCCCAGUGCCCCGAGCAGCACGCGCUGUCACCGUUGUACGGUCGAGGAACACAGGACUCGGGGAGGUUACGUAGUUUUUGAAAGGUCGCUAAGUUACUGUGCGGCGUGUCUGUCUCAUCCCAAAGCCUGGGCCACCUCCUCUUUAACCUGCUGCCUCUAACACCUCGUUCUCUGAGAUGUAAAGUUGGAGGCUCCCACCUUGUACUGCGCACUUGACCAGGGAGCAGUCAGAGCUGGGCUUGUCUCCUUAUUCCCUGCGUGCUGCCUAGUGAGCCCGUGUGGGAUUCCUCAAACCUUCAGACUCCUGGAUCCCUUGGCCACUCCUGAAUCAGAAGAACUGUGGCCCAGGAAACUGCAUUUAUGACGCAUUUCCCAGGGGAUUCUGAUGUUCCUCAAAGCUCUGAAAGCUGCAGCUAUAAGAAGCUGCUGCUCCCAAGAGCACAGAGGCCUCAGCUAAGUAAGUUGGAACUGCCAUGCUGCUUCCUUCACAUCCUUCUCCCAAGAGAAGCCCGGCUAUCCCUUUUGAAGCCCAAAUCUGAUUGGGCUCUCUCCUGCUCAGAUACCUUCAGCGGCUCCCCACUGCCCCGCUUCUUUCUGGACGUCAGCCACAACAGCCAGCCGCCCUCUGGCCCACCUCCCUGCCUUCGUGUGUACACUCCUGGACCCCCGCACUUUGUGGGCAGGCACCCCAUGCAGAGAAACUUUUCUGCACACCCCCAAGGCCUGUAUACUUCUUCAUUUAAAAAUCACUAGCCCUGGCUUGUCUAGCUCAGUGGAUUGAGCACAGGCUUACAAAUCAGAGGGUCACUGAUUCGAUUCCCAGUCUAGGGCACAUGCCUGGGUUGUGAGCCAGGUCCCCGGUGUGGGGGCACGUGAGAGGCAACCACAGACUGAUGUUUCUAUCCCUCUCUUUCUCCUUCCCUUCCCCUCUCUCUAAAAAUAAAUAAAAUCUUUUUUUAAAAAAACUCAACUUUAAAAAAGUACAUAAAAUAAAAUAAAAAUCACUAGUGUGCUACU
Artibeus jamaicensis (Jamaican fruit-eating bat) is the source of this 1532-nucleotide long non-coding RNA. RefSeq lists it as uncharacterized. NCBI's taxonomy places the organism in Eukaryota, Metazoa, Chordata, Mammalia, Chiroptera, Phyllostomidae. The record is from RefSeq and is a predicted model, not a curated record. The transcript is spliced from 3 exons.